AGCUCCAAUAGCGUAUAUUAAAGUUGUUGCGGUUAAAAAGCUCGUAGUUGGAUUUCUGCUGAGGACGACCGGUCCGCCCUCUGGGUGAGCAUCUGGUUCGGCCUUGGCAUCUUCUUGGGGAACGUAGCUGCACUUGACUGUGUGGUGCGGUAUCCAGGACUUUUACUUUGAGGAAAUUAGAGUGUUUCAAGCAGGCGCACGCCUUGAAUACAUUAGCAUGGAAUAAUAAGAUAGGACCUCGGUUCUAUUUUGUUGGUUUCUAGAGCUGAGGUAAUGAUUAAUAGGGAUAGUUGGGGGCAUUCGUAUUUAACUGUCAGAGGUGAAAUUCUUGGAUUUACGAAAGACGAACAACUGCGAAAGCAUUUGCCAAGAGUGUUUUCAUUAAUCAAGAACGAAAGUA
RNAcentral lists this ribosomal RNA (400 nucleotides) under phytoplankton environmental sample. RNAcentral's name for it is "partial small subunit ribosomal RNA". It matches the Rfam family "Eukaryotic small subunit ribosomal RNA", at positions 587 to 991 of the family's 1831-position model. The record is from RNAcentral.